GUUCGAUCUUCACGAUUUGGCAAUUCACAUUACUAUCGCAUUCGUGCUUUUAUCAUGCAGAACCAAGCUCCGUGUGAAAGUUUGAUUCAUUUGAAUUUUGCUAAGCGUAGAAUACGUCCCUAGGGACUACAGAAGAGUUUGUUGUUCUCCGCGGUGCCGGUUCAGGGAUGCGACGCUCCCGGGGCUCACCCCGCCGAGCCAACCGUUUGAUAACGUCCACAUGGGUUUGGAGUGGAAAACCCGGUAAUGACCUUCGUAGGGUGAACCUGCGGAGGGUUCAUUACCGAGUUUACAACUCCCAAACCCAAUGUGAACGUUACCAAACUGUUGCCUCGGCGGGGUCACGCCCCGGGUGCGUGGCAGCCCCGGAACCAGGCGCCCGCCGGAGGAACCAACCAAACUCUUUCUGUAGUCCCCUCGCGGACGUAUUUCUUACAGCUCUGAGCAAAAAUUCAAAAUGAAUCAAAACUUUCAACAACGGAUCUCUUGGUUCUGGCAUCGAUGAAGAACGCAGCGAAAUGCGAUAAGUAAUGUGAAUUGCAGAAUUCAGUGAAUCAUCGAAUCUUUGAACGCACAUUGCGCCCGCCAGUAUUCUGGCGGGCAUGCCUGUCCGAGCGUCAUUUCAACCCUCGAACCCCUCCGGGGGAUCGGCGUUGGGGAUCGGGACCCCUCACACGGGUGCCGGCCCCUAAAUACAGUGGCGGUCUCGCCGCAGCCUCUCCUGCGCAGUAGUUUGCACAACUCGCACCGGGAGCGCGGCGCGUCCACGUCCGUAAAACAACACCAACUUUCUGAAAUGUUGACCUCGGAUCAGGUAGGAAUACCUGCUGAGCUUAAGCAUAUCAGUAGCCGGAGGAAAA
RNAcentral lists this ribosomal RNA (860 nucleotides) under Trichoderma hamatum. Its description in RNAcentral is "eukaryotic LSU rRNA". The stretch from base 467 to 620 matches the Rfam family "5.8S ribosomal RNA". The record is from RNAcentral. Lineage: Eukaryota; Fungi; Ascomycota; Sordariomycetes; Hypocreales; Hypocreaceae.